UUAAUUACUAUGAUGGGGACAGUAGUAAAGGGAAUUUAUUGCACAGAGAAAUAAUCCUAAGGUGAGAGAUUAUUAAUAAACCUUUUAUGAAGAUCACCUCGGAGUAUAAUAUCCGAAAUUAGAGUAGGAUAUUACGCUAUAGGCGUUAUAUUAAAAGAGUGAUAGGAUAGUAGAUUAUUUAUCCUAUAAUUUGGGUGGUACCGCGGAAAUCCGUCCCUAAG
This 221-nucleotide non-coding RNA is filed under the name Schnuerera ultunensis. RNAcentral describes it as "Clostridium ultunense T-box sequence". It matches the Rfam family "T-box leader". Rfam says of the family: Uncharged tRNA acts as the effector for transcription antitermination of genes in the T-box leader family. T-boxes are found upstream of many aminoacyl-tRNA synthetase genes and some amino acid biosynthetic genes usually in Gram-positive bacteria. The anticodon of a specific tRNA base pairs to a specifier sequence within the T-box motif, and the NCCA acceptor tail of the tRNA base pairs to a conserved bulge in the T-box antiterminator hairpin. The record is from RNAcentral. Lineage: Bacteria; Bacillati; Bacillota; Tissierellia; Tissierellales; Tepidimicrobiaceae. RNAcentral also lists the same sequence under 1 other name.